RNAcentral lists this unclassified non-coding RNA (221 nucleotides) under uncultured Pirellulaceae bacterium. Its description in RNAcentral is "contains 16S-23S intergenic spacer region". It matches the Rfam family "Bacterial small subunit ribosomal RNA", at positions 974 to 1188 of the family's 1533-position model. Lineage: Bacteria; Pseudomonadati; Planctomycetota; Planctomycetia; Pirellulales; Pirellulaceae. The record is from RNAcentral.
UCCUGGUCUUGACAUGCACGGAUGCUGCCGGUGAAAGCCGGUUAGUUGCCUUCGGGUGAAACGUGCACAGGUGCUGCAUGGCUGUCGUCAGCUCGUGUCGUGAGAUGUCGGGUUAAGUCCCUUAACGAGCGAAACCCUUGUCUCUAGUUGCCAGCGGAUCAUGCCGGGGACUCUAGAGAGACUGCCGGUGUUAAACCGGAGGAAGGUGGGGAUGACGUCGU